Dermochelys coriacea (leatherback sea turtle) is the source of this 1246-nucleotide long non-coding RNA. RefSeq lists it as uncharacterized. The record is from RefSeq and is a predicted model, not a curated record. Lineage: Eukaryota; Metazoa; Chordata; Testudines; Dermochelyidae. The transcript has 2 exons.
UUGAACAAAACUGGCCCCAGGACCGACCCUUCGGGCACUCCACUUGAUACCGGCUGCCAACUAGACAUGGAGCCAUUGAUCACUACCCGUUGAGCCUGAUGAUCUAGCCAGCUUUCUAGCCACCUUUAUUUAAUAGAAUUGAAUACAAAAGAAUCAGAAGUCUUACGUUGAGUGAUAACCUUGGACAGAAGUACUUACAUCCACAGGAAGUUAUUAGCAAAAGAGGCUCAGAUGUCAUUAUUGUGGGACGUGGCAUCUUGUCUGCAUCAAAUCGUCCAGAGGAAGCAGAGAUGUACAGGAAGGCAGCAUGGGAGAGUUAUUUAAGCAGACUUGCUGUUCAUACACAAGACUAAUUCGAGCUUAGGAUUCCAGUGAACAAACUAACCCAAUGCAUUCUAGAAGAAGCCGGAUUAAUUAGGAGGAUGUUUCUCCCCAUUGGUUAGGUUGUCAUCUACUCUGAACUCAACUGAAUAUUUUGUUUUACAUAAAAUCUGCCAAUGACUACGUUUUUUAGUAAUGUGUAAAGGCUAAAUCACAUUAAUUGUGACCAUUGUUUCUUUGCAUGUGAGACUGUGAAACCAAAAAACAUUGCCCAACUUUAGUCUUACUUCUAACUGGUCCUCUAGUCUGUUACUUUGGAAAAUAAUAAAUGAAAACACUCCAGGUGGUACUUGCGGGUUAUUACUGACGUCUGGUAUUUCCUUUAGAUAUGGAAACAGUGCAGGUGGAGCUUUUUCAAUACUGUACAACAAAGCUAACCAUUCACUACAUUGAAUGGGACAACACAACUUUGUAGGGAGCACAAACCAGUCUGAAUCUGUUACUUAAUAAACAUUUGAAUUGACUCUCCUUUAAAUGUGAGUUUGUAUAUACAUAGUAUUUACAAAGGAGGGAAAAUAUCUUGGACUAAAAACUCAGGGUACGAUAAACUUAGGCCUUUAACUUUCAAUUACUGCCCCUUUCUGGUAUAUUUCUAACUGCUAUUGUGACUGGUAUCAAUUAUUGGUACCAUGGUUCCUCUCCAAAUUUGCUAUGACAAAAUUACAGCUGUAGCUAUUCGUUAACCCAGGGUGAAACUGAUUUGCAGUGGGGCUUGGUGGGUCUAUUAAUGAGAGGCAAAAGAACAAAGUCCUGAGGUUAUACCACUGUUGAAUUUCUAGUAGGCUGGUUAUUUUUAUGAAAAAUCUUUAGUACUUUUCCAUAUUUUUUCACCAUUUGAGAGUUUUAUUUAAAGGAUGUAAAAAUA